Molecule: unclassified non-coding RNA, 242 nt
Filed under: Hevea brasiliensis (rubber tree)
Lineage: Eukaryota; Viridiplantae; Streptophyta; Magnoliopsida; Malpighiales; Euphorbiaceae
Source: RNAcentral
CGAAAACGGGGAAGAAAACCAGCGAAUGGUAGAGAAGAGCCAUUGAAUCAUGUUGAAGCUGAGAGGCAGAGAAGAGAGAAACUUAACCAAAGGUUCUACUCCUUGCGAGCUGUAGUUCCCAAUGUGUCAAAAAUGGAUAAAGCUUCGCUUCUUGGAGAUGCCAUCUCUUAUAUCAAGGAGCUUAAAUCAAAGCUGCAAGCCUCAGAGUCUGUUAAGGAGGAGUUGGAGAAGCAAGUGGAAUC